This 467-nucleotide ribosomal RNA is filed under the name uncultured bacterium. Its description in RNAcentral is "partial 16S ribosomal RNA". It matches the Rfam family "Bacterial small subunit ribosomal RNA", at positions 28 to 507 of the family's 1533-position model. The record is from RNAcentral.
GACGAACGCUGGCGGCGUGCUUAACACAUGCAAGUCGAACGGAAAGGCCUCGCUUGGGGGGGACUCGAGUGGCGAACGGGUGAGUAACACGUGUGAAUCCUCCCCGUGACUCUGGGAUAACUCCAGGAAACUGUGGCUAAAACCGGAUAGGAGCGCCUGCUGCAUGGGGGGGGGUUGGAAGAUUCGGCGGUUGGGGGUGGGCUCGCGGGUUUUCAGAGUGUGUGGGGGGGAGUGUCGUACCAAGGCGUUGUCGGGUAUCCCGCCUGGGAGGGUGACCGGCCACAUUUGGGCUGAGGUUAGGCCCCGACUCCUACGGGAGGCAGCCGUGGGGAAUAUUGCCCCAUGGGUGGGAGGCUGGUGCAGCAACGCCGUGUGCGGGAUGGCGGGCUUCGGGUUGUGAACCGGUUUCGCUCAUGAAGAAGCUUUGUGUGACGGUAGUGGGUAAAGAAGCACCGGCUAACUACGUG